ACUCCUACGGGAGGCAUCAGUGGGGAAUAUUGCACAAUGGGGGAAACCCUGAUGCAGCCAUGCCGCGUGUGUGAAGAAGGCCUUGGUUGUAAAGCACUUUCAGUAGGGAGGAAGGUAGUGUAGUUAACACCUGCACUAUUUGACGUUACCUACAGAAGAAGCACCGGCUAACUCCGUGCCAGCAGCCGCGGUAAGUACGGAGGGUGCGAGCGUUAAUCGGAAUUACUGGGCGUAAAGCGCAUGCAGGCGGCCUGUUAAGUCAGAUGUGAAAGCCCGGGGCUUAACCUCGGAAUUGCAUUUGAAACUGGCAGGCUAGAGUCUUGUAGAGGGGUUAGAAUUUCAGGUGUAGCGGUGAAAUGCGUAGAGAUCUGAAGGAAUACCAGUGGCGAAGGCGGCCCCUGGACAAAGACUGACGCUCAGAUGCGAAAGCGUGGGAGCAAACAGGAUUAGAUACCCCUGGUAGCACAGAG
RNAcentral lists this ribosomal RNA (470 nucleotides) under uncultured bacterium. RNAcentral's name for it is "bacterial SSU rRNA". It matches the Rfam family "Bacterial small subunit ribosomal RNA", at positions 335 to 799 of the family's 1533-position model. The record is from RNAcentral.